Molecule: long non-coding RNA, 125 nt
Organism: Herpailurus yagouaroundi (jaguarundi)
Lineage: Eukaryota; Metazoa; Chordata; Mammalia; Carnivora; Felidae
Exons: 3
Source: RefSeq, a predicted model, not a curated record
AAUUAAUAACCCUACAGGGCCUCUAAGUGUUCCAGUGAAAGGAAAAGUCACAUGUUUCUCACUUUAAAUCAAAAGCUAGAAAUGAUUAAGCCUAGUGAGGAAGGCAUGUCCAAAGUGGAGAUAGA